UGACCUUGCGCAUGAAUGUCGCAAAUCUCGAUCACAUUCGUCGUGGAACUGUCUUUUCGGACGUUGAAAAAUCUGAAUCCUGAUUCAUUUCACUAUGUUCUUGUUUGGGGCCGUCUUUUUCCUUCUCAAUUACUGUCUUAGUUAUGCGAAUGGAAUAAUAUGUGGCAGUAUAAAUUGCACACGGGGUGAAUAUGACAGAGCAUGGUGUUGUGGAGAGGACAAACGAAAAUGCUGCAGGGAAUCUUCAUCCUCGGUGAACAUUUGGUAUGUCUGGGUGAUUGUUGUGCUAGUUGUGGUUGGUAUCAUCGCCGGGAUAGUGCUUUUUGUUCGGUAUCGUCGACGCCGUGCCAGGGCUGGUGCCCGUGGCGCCUUCGAUCAAUUGCGAUAAAACAAAUAUUUUGUUCACCACUUCAUGGAUUAUAAGUAUUACAACUUUUAGGGAAAGUAGCUUUCUGUGAAAUGUCCUUAAUGAUUGCUGGGUUUUUUAGUAUGGUACUGUAUUUUUGUAUUGUGUUUUUUGACAUAAAAUAAGUCUCGAGAAACUUUUGACAAAUUAGUGCGCUGCCUCUUUGAGGCUCCUUCCCAUAGCUCCAGUGCUAUAGCUCAGUGCUCGAUCCCAAUGACGUAAUUUAUUUGCAAAUUCGAGAUUCGAGAAUCACGAGACAUCUUCAGGAAAAGUGUUUCAUUUUUCCGAAUUUUCUGGGACUAAUUUUUGCGAUGUUUUCCUUGUUUUUGGUUUCUUUUGGCGUCUUAACAUUCCUCCCGUUUAUGAGAGCAAAUCUGUAUUGUGGUGAAUUUAGUACCUAUGGAGAAUAUUGUAAUCCACAUUCGUAUCAGGAGGCUUAUUGUUGUGGCGUUAACGAUGCGAAUUGCUGUUAUGAUACAGACGUCGCCACGAUCUGGUGGUUUUGGGUUUUGAUGAUCUUGUUCAUUGGUGUCAUCAGCACUUUGAUAGCUGUUUGUUGUCGCCGUCGUCGAAUACAAAGAGCUGGUUAUGUUGUUGUGCGAGGUCGAAAUGUGGCACCUACGGCUGUUGUCACAACAAACCAAUCUCAUAUCGCACAGGUGGCACCUCCUGGAACAGUCUACCAGCCUUAUCAUGGUCCUCCUGCUUACCAAGGCUACCAACAUCCCCACCAUGGUGGUAGGAGUGCAUAUGGCAAGCCUCCUCCCUAUGCUCCUCCUACUGCCCCACCACCCACAUAGAAGUAGUGCUCUUAUUGUGGAGUUUUAUUGUGAACUUGAGCUUUAGACUAAUUUUGAUCUUGGACUUUGAAAAGGAAAUUUCAUUUUGGAACGAGCAUACUAAAAUUAGUAAAAUUGACAAGUUUAGCAGCGAAAUGUUUUAAAGAAGAGAAAACACAGCCAUGAAAAGCCGGUAAUUUUGUAUUUGUGUUACGGAAGGUGGGCGAUCAAAUUAGUACACAUUUUACAACUUCACAUGACUAUAUUUCCGCAUUUUACAAAAUUUUGCAACUCAACUCAUGUGGUUGUAGAUGUGAAUUGUAAGAAUUUUAUUAUGCUCCUAGUCUAAGAUUGGGUCACAUUCCUUGUUUAUUUACCUAGACCAAAAUUUAGUCUAAAGAGCAAACCGUUCAUUGUGUAUAUACAUUAAUAUAAUGAAAUUAGUUAGAAAAUAAUUAUAAUAACUUGAAAUUUUGCUGGACUAA
RNAcentral lists this long non-coding RNA (1670 nucleotides) under Dendronephthya gigantea. Its description in RNAcentral is "uncharacterized LOC114530934". The record is from RNAcentral. Lineage: Eukaryota; Metazoa; Cnidaria; Anthozoa; Malacalcyonacea; Nephtheidae.